This 254-nucleotide ribosomal RNA is filed under the name uncultured bacterium. RNAcentral's name for it is "partial 16S ribosomal RNA". It matches the Rfam family "Bacterial small subunit ribosomal RNA", at positions 524 to 776 of the family's 1533-position model. The record is from RNAcentral.
UACGGAGGAGGCAAGCGUUAUCCGGAAUUAUUGGGCGUAAAGCGUCCGUAGAUGGUCGUUUCAAGUCUGCUGUCAAAGACCGGGGCUUAACCCCAGAAAGGCGGUGGAAACUGAACAGCUAGAGAGAGGUAGGGGUAGAGGGAAUUCCCAGUGUAGCGGUGAAAUGCGUAGAUAUUGGGAAGAACAUCGGUGGCGAAAGCGCUCUACUGGACCGCAACUGACACUCAGGGACGAAAGCUAGGGGAGCGAAUGGG